AUUGAACGCUGGCGGCAGGCCUAACACAUGCAAGUCGAGCGGAUGAAGGGAGCUUGCUCCUGGAUUCAGCGGCGGACGGGUGAGUAAUGCCUAGGAAUCUGCCUGGUAGUGGGGGAUAAGGUCCGGAAACGGGCGCUAAUACCGCAUACGUCCUGAGGGAGAAAGUGGGGGAUCUUCGGACCUCACGCUAUCAGAUGAGCCUAGGUCGGAUUAGCUAGUUGGUGGGGUAAAGGCCUACCAAGGCGACGAUCCGUAACUGGUCUGAGAGGAUGAUCAGUCACACUGGAACUGAGACACGGUCCAGACUCCUACGGGAGGCAGCAGUGGGGAAUAUUGGACAAUGGGCGAAAGCCUGAUCCAGCCAUGCCGCGUGUGUGAAGAAGGUCUUCGGAUUGUAAAGCACUUUAAGUUGGGAGGAAGGGCAGUAAGUUAAUACCUUGCUGUUUUGACGUUACCAACAGAAUAAGCACCGGCUAACUUCGUG
This 484-nucleotide ribosomal RNA is filed under the name uncultured bacterium. Its description in RNAcentral is "partial 16S ribosomal RNA". It matches the Rfam family "Bacterial small subunit ribosomal RNA", at positions 30 to 507 of the family's 1533-position model. The record is from RNAcentral.